GUGUGUUGAAGUCAGCAGAUAGCACACCUGCUGCUGCGUGAGUUCCUUCUGCCAAGCAGAGCAGCACAGCUGCAAGACACCCUGCUUCUGGCUCUGAGCUUUGCUUGUCUUCAGGGAUGGAGCCCCUCCCAAGGCAAGUUCAACUGGGUUCUUUGGCAGCCGAAGUCUACACGGACCCUGCAGGGAGCGGUGGAGAAAAAUAUAUUGAUCAUGAGGAGAGGGCUCACCCCUCACCCGGAGAAGUAGUUGGGGAAGCAAUAUGCGGAAACAAAGCCAUGAAUCUGACAAGAAAUGUACUUAAGGUAAGUAAUAAGAUUGGGUUGCAUUUUUAUGAUGUGCUACAAAAAAAAUGUCCUCAAAAAAUCUAGCUCUGGAAGCCAACCAUUAUUCACUUUGGGGGAGCAUGCCAUGCAAAAGAUCUCCUGGUUUUGGGAAAUCACACAGUGACCUAUGUUGUUUCUGCUGCCUACCGAGGAACACGGACGCAGCUUCAGUCUAAGAAAGAACGUUCAAUUGAGGCAGUCACUUUCUCUGGGCCAAAUUACAUUCUUCAUAAUCUCCCAAGUGUUAUAUUUAAUUUACAUUUGAAAUAGAAAAUAUGUGAACAUAGACUUUGGCUCACGAAUUAUUUCAGUUUUCUGAAUUCAGGAGAAUGUGCUUGUUGAAGCAGAUGUUUCUGAAUUUUAUUUUAUUACUGAAAUUUCCACAAAUAUAAAUCAUUUAAAAAUACAUGAUUUAAGAGUUUAAUAACCUGAAAAUGACCACCCAGCAAAGUUUUUGUAUCUUUCCUCAGCAUUUCUGAUCAUGUGUUUUCAAGAAAGCAUUGAAUUUUUUAGCAAAGCUUCUCAUGCAGAUAAUCUCUUAAAGGUUUAAAUCUCUUACGGAGCAUAAGAAAAAUAAACUAUUUUUUGACUUCAAUCUAAAUGGAAUUCUGUACUCUUCACAAGCCCCUGAAUAUUUCAUAACUCUGAAAGAUGCAAAUGUAAAUUUCCUAUGAAUCCCGAUUUUAUUCAAAGAUUGAAGCCCUAUCACCUCACUUAGAACAAAUUUCAUCCAUUAACAACUAUCUUGCAGGUAAAGGGAAGCCAAAUAUAAGUAAAGUACUAACAAGGCCAAUUACGUUCAGGUGCAUGGAUGAUUAAUCAUAAAAUUCACAACGGAGGACACUCUGUGGGUAAGGAAUAUGAUUCCUUUUUGCAAAUAAUGUGGUAUAUGUAUAUAUUUUUCUUCUCUUCUCCUUUCACAUGCACUGUUUAGAUUGUAUAUAUGGAGAUGAAUACCCAUUGUCCUUUGCACUUUCUGGAUGAUAAAUUAGAAAAGAAAAAUCCAAAGAAUGAAGUUGUGCUAUUUGUCCUCACUUCUGAUUUGGGAAACUAGAGGAAAUUAAGAUGGUUAGUAUUGCUAUGAUUUUUUUCCCCCUGAACCCUAGGAAAUAGGAAUUUAAAGUCCUUAAAUAUAUUUUCUAUAAUCAACAAAUUAUAAAGUUAUUUUCACUAAUCUUUUUGAAAAUACAAAUAUAAGCCAGAGGUUCUUAUUCAUGGCUCAUUUCUCAGGACUUCAUAAGACCAUGAAGCACAGUGAAACCCAUAUAUUGAAUAGGUCUCAUGCAAUCUGC
This is a long non-coding RNA of Homo sapiens (human), 1615 nucleotides long. Ensembl annotates it as long intergenic non-protein coding RNA 1497. NCBI's taxonomy places the organism in Eukaryota, Metazoa, Chordata, Mammalia, Primates, Hominidae. The record is from Ensembl.